This 2787-nucleotide ribosomal RNA is filed under the name Escherichia coli. Its description in RNAcentral is "bacterial LSU rRNA". It matches the Rfam family "Bacterial large subunit ribosomal RNA". The record is from RNAcentral. Lineage: Bacteria; Pseudomonadati; Pseudomonadota; Gammaproteobacteria; Enterobacterales; Enterobacteriaceae.
AGCGUACACGGUGGAUGCCCUGGCAGUCAGAGGCGAUGAAGGACGUGCUAAUCUGCGAUAAGCGUCGGUAAGGUGAUAUGAACCGUUAUAACCGGCGAUUUCCGAAUGGGGAAACCCAGUGUGUUUCGACACACUAUCAUUAACUGAAUCCAUAGGUUAAUGAGGCGAACCGGGGGAACUGAAACAUCUAAGUACCCCGAGGAAAAGAAAUCAACCGAGAUUCCCCCAGUAGCGGCGAGCGAACGGGGAGCAGCCCAGAGCCUGAAUCAGUAUGUGUGUUAGUGGAAGCGUCUGGAAAGGCGCGCGAUACAGGGUGACAGCCCCGUACACAAAAAUGCACAUGCUGUGAGCUCGAUGAGUAGGGCGGGACACGUGGUAUCCUGUCUGAAUAUGGGGGGACCAUCCUCCAAGGCUAAAUACUCCUGACUGACCGAUAGUGAACCAGUACCGUGAGGGAAAGGCGAAAAGAACCCCGGCGAGGGGAGUGAAAAAGAACCUGAAACCGUGUACGUACAAGCAGUGGGAGCUCGCUUAGGCGUGUGACUGCGUACCUUUUGUAUAAUGGGUCAGCGACUUAUAUUCUGUAGCAAGGUUAACCGAAUAGGGGAGCCGAAGGGAAACCGAGUCUUAACUGGGCGUUAAGUUGCAGGGUAUAGACCCGAAACCCGGUGAUCUAGCCAUGGGCAGGUUGAAGGUUGGGUAACACUAACUGGAGGACCGAACCGACUAAUGUUGAAAAAUUAGCGGAUGACUUGUGGCUGGGGGUGAAAGGCCAAUCAAACCGGGAGAUAGCUGGUUCUCCCCGAAAGCUAUUUAGGUAGCGCCUCGUGAAUUCAUCUCCGGGGGUAGAGCACUGUUUCGGCAAGGGGGUCAUCCCGACUUACCAACCCGAUGCAAACUGCGAAUACCGGAGAAUGUUAUCACGGGAGACACACGGCGGGUGCUAACGUCCGUCGUGAAGAGGGAAACAACCCAGACCGCCAGCUAAGGUCCCAAAGUCAUGGUUAAGUGGGAAACGAUGUGGGAAGGCCCAGACAGCCAGGAUGUUGGCUUAGAAGCAGCCAUCAUUUAAAGAAAGCGUAAUAGCUCACUGGUCGAGUCGGCCUGCGCGGAAGAUGUAACGGGGCUAAACCAUGCACCGAAGCUGCGGCAGCGACGCUUAUGCGUUGUUGGGUAGGGGAGCGUUCUGUAAGCCUGUGAAGGUGUGCUGUGAGGCAUGCUGGAGGUAUCAGAAGUGCGAAUGCUGACAUAAGUAACGAUAAAGCGGGUGAAAAGCCCGCUCGCCGGAAGACCAAGGGUUCCUGUCCAACGUUAAUCGGGGCAGGGUGAGUCGACCCCUAAGGCGAGGCCGAAAGGCGUAGUCGAUGGGAAACAGGUUAAUAUUCCUGUACUUGGUGUUACUGCGAAGGGGGGACGGAGAAGGCUAUGUUGGCCGGGCGACGGUUGUCCCGGUUUAAGCGUGUAGGCUGGUUUUCCAGGCAAAUCCGGAAAAUCAAGGCUGAGGCGUGAUGACGAGGCACUACGGUGCUGAAGCAACAAAUGCCCUGCUUCCAGGAAAAGCCUCUAAGCAUCAGGUAACAUCAAAUCGUACCCCAAACCGACACAGGUGGUCAGGUAGAGAAUACCAAGGCGCUUGAGAGAACUCGGGUGAAGGAACUAGGCAAAAUGGUGCCGUAACUUCGGGAGAAGGCACGCUGAUAUGUAGGUGAAGUCCCUCGCGGAUGGAGCUGAAAUCAGUCGAAGAUACCAGCUGGCUGCAACUGUUUAUUAAAAACACAGCACUGUGCAAACACGAAAGUGGACGUAUACGGUGUGACGCCUGCCCGGUGCCGGAAGGUUAAUUGAUGGGGUCAGCGCAAGCGAAGCUCUUGAUCGAAGCCCCGGUAAACGGCGGCCGUAACUAUAACGGUCCUAAGGUAGCGAAAUUCCUUGUCGGGUAAGUUCCGACCUGCACGAAUGGCGUAAUGAUGGCCAGGCUGUCUCCACCCGAGACUCAGUGAAAUUGAACUCGCUGUGAAGAUGCAGUGUACCCGCGGCAAGACGGAAAGACCCCGUGAACCUUUACUAUAGCUUGACACUGAACAUUGAGCCUUGAUGUGUAGGAUAGGUGGGAGGCUUUGAAGUGUGGACGCCAGUCUGCAUGGAGCCGACCUUGAAAUACCACCCUUUAAUGUUUGAUGUUCUAACGUUGACCCGUAAUCCGGGUUGCGGACAGUGUCUGGUGGGUAGUUUGACUGGGGCGGUCUCCUCCUAAAGAGUAACGGAGGAGCACGAAGGUUGGCUAAUCCUGGUCGGACAUCAGGAGGUUAGUGCAAUGGCAUAAGCCAGCUUGACUGCGAGCGUGACGGCGCGAGCAGGUGCGAAAGCAGGUCAUAGUGAUCCGGUGGUUCUGAAUGGAAGGGCCAUCGCUCAACGGAUAAAAGGUACUCCGGGGAUAACAGGCUGAUACCGCCCAAGAGUUCAUAUCGACGGCGGUGUUUGGCACCUCGAUGUCGGCUCAUCACAUCCUGGGGCUGAAGUAGGUCCCAAGGGUAUGGCUGUUCGCCAUUUAAAGUGGUACGCGAGCUGGGUUUAGAACGUCGUGAGACAGUUCGGUCCCUAUCUGCCGUGGGCGCUGGAGAACUGAGGGGGGCUGCUCCUAGUACGAGAGGACCGGAGUGGACGCAUCACUGGUGUUCGGGUUGUCAUGCCAAUGGCACUGCCCGGUAGCUAAAUGCGGAAGAGAUAAGUGCUGAAAGCAUCUAAGCACGAAACUUGCCCCGAGAUGAGUUCUCCCUGACUCCUUGA